Molecule: transfer RNA, 67 nt
Filed under: Dixella aestivalis
Lineage: Eukaryota; Metazoa; Arthropoda; Insecta; Diptera; Dixidae
Description: tRNA-His
Source: RNAcentral
AUUUAAGUAAUUUAAUAUAAAAUAUUGAUUUGUGGUGUCAAAUAUACGAAACUAUUCGUCUUAGAUC